This is an RNA transcript of Diospyros lotus (date-plum), 1042 nucleotides long. It is a transcript of the gene named isocitrate dehydrogenase [NAD] catalytic subunit 6, mitochondrial-like, with no coding region annotated. The record is from RefSeq and is a predicted model, not a curated record. The transcript has 3 exons. NCBI's taxonomy places the organism in Eukaryota, Viridiplantae, Streptophyta, Magnoliopsida, Ericales, Ebenaceae.
UCUCUCUCUCUCUCUCUCUUUCUCUCUGCGCGCCCAAAAACCAUUGUUGCCUGGUUUUUCAAGCUGGGAUGCUACUCCACCAUUGCUGUCGGUAUCUGCAAGAUGCAUUCUCUCUCUCUCUCUCUCCCCGUCAGGCACCCCCAUUUUCGGAUAGAUCUUCUCCAAUGCGAUAUUGUUUUUUCCAUAUUCGAUCGUCGUUCGCUCGCUCCUCUAUCAGUCGGAAGUCCAGAAGAUCGAGUCGCCUGCAGUAGUGACCUCUUCCCUAGCCGCCGAUGGUUCCCUCUUCCCUCGCUACUGGUGGUUCCCUCUCCCGACGCUGCCGGUCGUUCCCGCUGUUCCAGUUUUUAUAGAUUUUGUUGUUUAUUUCUUUGCUUCCUUCAUGGCUGCCCAAAUUGCCAGAUGCGUCCUGCAAAGCCGUUCCAGCCAGAUCUUGUUUGGUCCAUCGGCUAGGGUUUUCUCGUGCUUCGAUCACAGCCUAUCCUCCGCCAUCGAUCCCAUCCGCGCCACUCUCUUCCCCGGCGACAACAUCGAUCUCGAGAUCGCCGAGUCUGUCAAACAGGGCUUUUAUAGUUGUUGUGUGGACAACAACGUGUGACAUUGGUUUCUGUAAACACAACAGAGAACGACCUGACAUUGGUGCCGUCGUCAGUUGCUUCCCAUUCUAGAAUCACCAACAAUCCAAAAGAACGGCAUCGGCAUCCCGUCAACCGCUUCCUAUUCUUGAAUAGCUGACGAACCAAAAGAAUGACACCGGCACUACUUCAAAUCUUCAAAUGGCUAUAUAAUGUUGUUACAUCAGUCUCUACAUUGGUUUCAACCAUUCCCAUUGUGUACAUUGCCUUGAGUUUAGUCUGGAUUUAUAAUGUUGUUACACCAGUAUUUAUAUUGUGUAUGGCUAUAUGCUUAGAUGAGAUGUAUAAACUUGUAAAGUACAUUGAUUGGUUGUUACUUUUUAUCUAUAUUUUUUUAGUCAUUUACUCUAUUAUAGAAAGUGUAUAUUUGAGAGAUUAAGCAAAUGAAUAAAGGUUAGAACAUUUGAAUG